GUUGCUUCAUUAUGGUGAACUCUCUCACAUUUAAAUGAGAGAAAUUCAAGUUUCCGGAGCAUAAAUUAAGUAUUUUUAUCGCCAGUAUUUAACAGCUCGAUGUGUCUACCAUUGCAUCGAUGUUACCUGUCUCCUGGUAUAUUU
Molecule: small nucleolar RNA, 144 nt
Organism: Lactuca sativa (garden lettuce)
Lineage: Eukaryota; Viridiplantae; Streptophyta; Magnoliopsida; Asterales; Asteraceae
Product: small nucleolar RNA snoR137
Source: RefSeq, a predicted model, not a curated record